This 127-nucleotide small nucleolar RNA is filed under the name Mastacembelus armatus (zig-zag eel). RNAcentral's name for it is "Small nucleolar RNA SNORA71 (ENSMAMG00000014872.2)". It matches the Rfam family "Small nucleolar RNA SNORA71". From Rfam's summary of the family: The members of this family belong to the H/ACA class of snoRNAs which bind a number of proteins (including dyskerin, Gar1p and Nop10p) to form snoRNP complexes. This class of snoRNAs are thought to guide the sites of modification of uridines to pseudouridines by forming direct base pairing interactions with substrate RNAs. This family includes U71 (SNORA71), ACA39 (SNORA39) and ACA60 (SNORA60). The record is from Rfam by way of RNAcentral. Lineage: Eukaryota; Metazoa; Chordata; Actinopteri; Synbranchiformes; Mastacembelidae.
CCCUGUAUCGAAAGUGAUCAUGGCGUCCCUGUGGCCAGGUCAUUGAUAGUACAGGAAGAUGAAGCUGCGAGCCUUUCCCGUGUCUGAAGGAGCCCCUCUUCCUCUCAGACCCUGGUGCUCGCAGACA